RNAcentral lists this unclassified non-coding RNA (299 nucleotides) under Hevea brasiliensis (rubber tree). The record is from RNAcentral. Lineage: Eukaryota; Viridiplantae; Streptophyta; Magnoliopsida; Malpighiales; Euphorbiaceae.
AUAUCUUUUCCAUCAUACCACGAUACAUUUCAGAUCCAAUGCCAUACAUUUUAUAAGAUUUUAGACUGCAUGAUAUCAAGGAUAUACACAUAUCAAGAUGAGAGCCAGACGAUUUAUAUAGCUGGGUAGCAGGUACAUGCUUCAACUUUAAUUUUUACGUGGUGGAUUUGUUGGUUCUUGUUCUCUAGUCAGAUGGAGUAAAAUUAUUCCCGAAAGAACUGUGAUAAAUCCACAGAUAUCAGAUACGAUACUACUACAUCUUGCCCAGUCCAGUCCUUGAACAUUAUUGUGCUUGCGAU